GUGAACAAACAUAAAUGGCCAUUAUGGUGUUUUCAGGACAUCAGGAACACUAUUUUGCACUAUUGGAUGUGUUUGGUUGAGUUUAUGAUGUUAGAAGAGAAAUGGAAGCAACCAAUACAUUCACAGACCUGUUAUUUAUGACUGACAAAUAUGGCAGCCACUACUGCUAGAUUUAAGUACAGUAUGGUAAGUUCACAUGCAAGUUUAGGAAUCAUUUCUUUUCUGACAACGUGUCAAGAAUCCUGACAUCAUAAAUGGCCUAUCACAGUGAGACCUCUACCUGCCUCACAUUCAUUUUAUUUCAUGCUUGCAGUGAAUGCUGACUUAUUCUUCAAACUGUAUAAUAUUUCUUCUGAGGCAAGAGACUAGUUAUGUAAUAUAGACCCUCAAAAUGGUUCAUUUAUGAAAGUGUAAAACCACAGUUGUAAUGACGUAAUGUGAUGUUAUUCCAUAUUUGUGCAAGUAAUGCUAUUUCUAUGGGUAAGCACAUGCAUUUACAGACCAGCCAAGCCGUAUCAAUAGUGGUUUAAAAAUGUGCACUAUAUGAGUUGGGCACACUGGGUGUGUGCUUUUCUGAGUGUGCAAACAUUUGCACCUGCAUAUAAAAAGUGGAUGAUUUGUAGAAAUGUAAUGAUCAAAAGUAGUGCAUUUAGGAAGGGGGUGGUGCUUCCUGCAUUUUUCCACCAACAGGAACUUGAUUUUUCUAUCACUUUCUAGGUGGGGCAGAUCAAAUUCAAGUCACAAAGAUGCCUUUGUACCUUCAUGCUGCAUUUUUGCAUACAAGUCUAUUAAACGUUCUAUCAUCUGA
This is a long non-coding RNA of Pseudophryne corroboree (corroboree frog), 808 nucleotides long. RefSeq lists it as uncharacterized. The record is from RefSeq and is a predicted model, not a curated record. NCBI's taxonomy places the organism in Eukaryota, Metazoa, Chordata, Amphibia, Anura, Myobatrachidae. The transcript has 3 exons.